CUACGGGCCGCAGCAGUGAGGAAUAUUGCACAAUGGGGGAAACCCUGAUGCAGCAACGCCGCGUGGAGGAUGACGCAUUUCGGUGUGUAAACUCCUUUUAUCAGAGAAGAAGAUGACGGUAUCUGAUGAAUAAGCUCCGGCUAACUCCGUGCCAGCAGCCGCGGUAAUACGGAGGGAGCAAGCGUUAUUCGGAAUCACUGGGCGUAAAGGACGCGUAGGCGGGUUAGAAAGUCAGGUGUGAAAGCCAACAGCUCAACUGUUGAACAGCACUUGAAACUCCUAACCUAGAGUAUGGAAGGGGCAGAUGGAAUUAGUGGUGUAGGGGUAAAAUCCGUAGAUAUCACUAGGAAUACCGAAAGCGAAAGCGAUCUGCUGGGACAUUACUGACGCUGAGGCGUGAAAGCGUGGGGAGCAAACAGGAUUAGAUACCCUCGUAGUC
Molecule: ribosomal RNA, 439 nt
Filed under: uncultured bacterium
Lineage: Bacteria
Description: partial 16S ribosomal RNA
Rfam family: Bacterial small subunit ribosomal RNA
Source: RNAcentral